RNAcentral lists this ribosomal RNA (241 nucleotides) under uncultured Actinomycetales bacterium. RNAcentral's name for it is "partial 16S ribosomal RNA". It matches the Rfam family "Bacterial small subunit ribosomal RNA", at positions 89 to 334 of the family's 1533-position model. Lineage: Bacteria; Bacillati; Actinomycetota; Actinomycetes; Actinomycetales. The record is from RNAcentral.
ACUCGAGUGGCGAACGGGUGAGUAACACGUGGGUGAUCUGCCUUGCACUUCGGGAUAAGCCUGGGAAACUGGGUCUAAUACCGGAUGGGACCAUGCUUUAGUGUGUGUGGUGGAAAGUUUUUCGGUGCAAGAUGAGCCCGCGGCCUAUCAGCUUGUUGGUGGGGUAAUGGCCUACCAAGGCGACGACGGGUAGCCGGCCUGAGAGGGUGUACGGCCACAUUGGGACUGAGACACGGCCCAG